This 227-nucleotide long non-coding RNA is filed under the name Capsicum annuum. RNAcentral describes it as "long non-coding RNA (CANN_LNC018647)". The record is from RNAcentral. Lineage: Eukaryota; Viridiplantae; Streptophyta; Magnoliopsida; Solanales; Solanaceae.
GAGAUAGGGGAGAGGCUGGCGGGAAUGGGGGUGUGGGAGUGUAGGGGGGAUGUGGAUAAUAUGUGGGACAGGGUGUAAAGAUUGUAAAGUCAUCCCGAGUGAGAACCUUUCGACCCAACAUAGGCUCUUGGUUAUGGAUUUGGGUAUGAAGAAGAAUAAAAAGAGGAGGAGUAAGGAGUGUAGACCGAGAAUUAAGUGGGGCGGUUUGACGCCAGUGAAUGCGUGGG